RNAcentral lists this ribosomal RNA (468 nucleotides) under uncultured bacterium. RNAcentral's name for it is "partial 16S ribosomal RNA". It matches the Rfam family "Bacterial small subunit ribosomal RNA", at positions 28 to 507 of the family's 1533-position model. The record is from RNAcentral.
GACGAACGCUGGCGGCGUGCUUAACACAUGCAAGUCGAACGGAAAGGCCCUGCUUUUGUGGGGUGCUCGAGUGGCGAACGGGUGAGUAACACGUGAGUAACCUGCCCUUGACUUUGGGAUAACUUCAGGAAACUGGGGCUAAUACCGGAUCGGAGCUCCUGCUGCAUGGUGGGGGUUGGAAAGUUUCGGCGGUUGGGGAUGGACUCGCGGCUUAUGAGCUUGUUGGUGGGGUAGUGGUUUACCAAGGCUUUGACGGGUAGCCGGCCUGAGAGGGUGACCGGCCACAUUGGGACUGAGAUACGGCCCAGACUCCUACGGGAGGCAGCAGUGGGGAAUAUUGCACAAUGGGCGGAAGCCUGAUGCAGCAACGCCGCGUGCGGGAUGACGGCCUUCGGGUUGUAAACCGCUUUCGCCUGUGACGAAGCGUGAGUGACGGUAAUGGGUAAAGAAGCACCGGCUAACUACGUG